AGAGCUGCGGUCAGGCCACCGGUGUCCUCGUCCAUCAAUCGCUAACCAGGUAGGUGAGCCUUGGGCCAGGGCCCCCAGCCUCUCAGAAGCCGUGUGUGUCUCUCGGUCCGGAGGAUGGGCUCACUGAGCGGCCGUAUGUGUGGGGAGUGUGAGUACCCCCACCCUCUUCUACCUCAAGCUCCCAGCACAGGCCCCGAGGGAGAGCAGACCCUCAGGAAGGGUUAGUUUUCAAGAAGUGCAUCUCCCUGUACUAAAUCUCUUAAUAUCUCUCUGCCACUGGUCAUGCUUCUUGGGUUGAGCUCUAACUGACACAUAUACCAUUAGCUCCAUCCCAAAGCCAGGCCCUGUCCUGAGAAGUAGGGUCUCCCUUGUGACCACUGAAGAAAGUCCUGAGCUUUGUGCUGGAAGCGGACCCUGCCUAUGCCCUGUCCAAGCCUCCUCAGCCCUGACAUUUAAGGGCAGGUGGGCUAGGCUUCACCUGCCAGCACCACCCUCUGCGACAGGCCUUCCUCUGGCCAUAGGUGCCUGUUCUGCCCACGUUAGAGCAAGCCAGAGUAUUGGGGACUCUUAAUGCCUCCCAGAAGUAGCCCUCAACCGAUGAUUCAUGAAAGUUGGGAAGAGUCUGGCUUCUGGUUAAAAAUCUGUAUGUCAUCCAUGGGCAGUUACAACGGCUUUACACAACAGGCCCCCAAGGGGAUCGGGGGAGCUGCACCCCCAACCCCAGGCUUGGGACACAGCCAGAGCUUUGCAUGCAAUCUCUGAAGGGAGUUGCUGUAAAAUGCUCAGGCCCCCAGGCUGGCCAAACCCUUUACCUAUUU
RNAcentral lists this long non-coding RNA (818 nucleotides) under Homo sapiens (human). Its description in RNAcentral is "HSALNT0068519". The record is from RNAcentral. Lineage: Eukaryota; Metazoa; Chordata; Mammalia; Primates; Hominidae.